CGCAUUUUCUUCAACCACUAGUAUGUGAAGUUGAUGUGACGCAACAACUAUCAGCUGGUUUUGUUUUGCUUCAUUCUCUGUGCUCCGCUUGAAGUCGUAAAUGUACAAAAAAAACUUGCGUUUUAAUUCAUUAAUGCGAGGCGGAAGAACAGUCGAAGCGUUGGAGUAUAUUUGUCUUCCACUUUAUUCGGACCAUCCAGUUUUUCCUCAGUAGGUCUCCGCUUUGCCACCAUCUUUCCAAGAGGUCCAACCGAUCCCAGGCCUCCGAUCCAGGGCGGAGGGAGGGAAGGAGGUCGUGGGGAAUCGGGAUGGAGACCGGAGAGGGAGCCGACGGUCCUGUUGGGCCGGGGCUGUGCUGCGCCUCCUUCAACCAAGACUCCACGUCUUUGGCUGUGGGCACCAAAACUGGAUACAGGCUAUUCUCUGUGACCUCGGUCGACAAACUGGACUGCAUUCAUGAGAGCACAGAAACUCCAGAUGUGUAUAUCGUGGAAAGGCUUUUCUCUAGCAGCCUGGUUGUGGUGGUGAGUCAGUCCAUGCCACGUCGCAUGAAUGUCUACCACUUCAAAAAAGGCACAGAGAUUUGCAACUACAGCUACUCGAACAACAUUCUUGCAGUGCGACUAAACAGACAGAGACUGGUUGUCUGUCUGGAAGAAUCCAUCUAUAUCCACAAUAUAAAAGACAUGAAACUCCUGAAGACCCUUCUCAACACACCGUCAAACCCAUCAGGUCUCUGCGCUCUCUCCAUCAACCAUUCCAACUCUUUCUUGGCAUAUCCAGGAAGUGACACCAUUGGAGAAAUUAUUGUCUAUGAUGCCAACAAUCUGAGCACUAUGACCAUGAUUCCAGCUCAUGACAGUCCACUGGCCGCCAUCACCUUCAGUGCUUCUGGCACCAAACUGGCCAGUGCUUCUGAAAGGGGCACAGUGAUUCGAGUCUUCUCCAUUCCAGAGGGACUGCGCUUGUUUGAGUUCCGGCGGGGGAUGAAGAGGUAUGUCAACAUCAGCUCCCUUUCCUUCAGCCCAGAUGCUCAGUUCCUCUGUGCCUCAAGCAAUACAGAGACGGUGCACAUUUUCAAGCUUGAACAGCACAGCCCAAGUGGGGAGGAGGAAGCUCCCUCUUGGUCAGCAUAUGUAGGUAAGAUGUUCACAGCAGCCAGUAGCUACCUCCCAGCGCAGGUGUCAGGCAUGAUGAGUCAAGACCGAGCCUUUGCCACUGUCCGGCUCCAGAUGGCAGGUCAGAAGAAUGUCUGUGUCCUGGCAACAAUCCAGAAGCUUCCACGUUUGCUUGUGGCCUCCUCUGAUGGGCAGCUAUUCAUCUAUAACAUUGAUCCUCAAGAUGGGGGUGAAUGCACUCUGGUACAGAGGCACAGGUUGUUUGGAUCAGAUAAGGAGUGGGAGGAGACUGAGAAAUCUGAACUUAUGGAGCCACCGCAAGCAUGCCAGUCCUAUGCUGCCACUGUGGCCAUCCCCACCUCUGGACCCAUUACAGCCACUCUCACAGGCUACUCAGAGGAUGGGGGAGCUAAGAAGGGUGAGGUGAUUCCCGAGCACGAGUUUGCAGCAGGGCCCGUGUGCCUGGAUGACGAAACUGAAUUUCCUCCCGUGAGCAUUCGCUAACCUCUCCACGUCUAAGCGGCGGUGUUGCAUUCCAGUGUAUGGGGUUGUCUUGUCCCUCUGUCCACAAGCACUCAAACUAAAUAAAUUGGUGCCAUGACGGAUCUGGGCGAGGCAAGGGGAGACGACCGUGAGAGGGUAGAGAACAGGUGGAGGCUGCAACUGUCACAGGAGGAUCCUCGGUGCAUGAGCAAGGACAAACAAAU
This is an RNA transcript of Sinocyclocheilus anshuiensis, 1825 nucleotides long. It is a transcript of the gene named WD repeat domain phosphoinositide-interacting protein 1-like, with no coding region annotated. The transcript is spliced from 13 exons. Lineage: Eukaryota; Metazoa; Chordata; Actinopteri; Cypriniformes; Cyprinidae. The record is from RefSeq and is a predicted model, not a curated record.